This 117-nucleotide ribosomal RNA is filed under the name Paenibacillus sp. OT2-17. Lineage: Bacteria; Bacillati; Bacillota; Bacilli; Caryophanales; Paenibacillaceae. The record is from RNAcentral.
UUUGGUGGCGCUAGCGGAGGGGUUCCACACGUACCCAGCCCGAACACGGCCGUUAAGCCCUCCAGCGCCGAUGGUGCUUGGACCGCAGGGUCCUGGGAGAGUAGGACGCCGCCAAGC